UUAUCAACACCUAUUUAUGUUGUUUCUACUAAUAGGCCAGUACUUCGCUACUUAUAAGGAGGCACACAGAAAAAGGCAAAAAGAAAAAAAAAAAAAAAAGUGUAACCCCUGCUAUCAAGGAGAUUGAAGGGAAUGAGAAAAUAACAAAUGUGAAAAAGUUAGUAAGUACUUAGCUAUUGGGAUAAAUAGAGUACAAAGGGCUCUUGGAGACAACAGAAAAUAGUAACAGUGAGAAGAGUUAGACAAUGAGAAAAUCAGAACUUGAAUUGGACUUUGAAAUGCUGGUAGAAUUUGAGAGGCAGAAAGGAUGUGAGGUGUGACUCCAGGUGUUGGAUGAAUAGCUGGACCUGUCAACAACAAUCACAAAGGAUCCAGAAGGUACACUGAUGAGCAUGAAGAAAAGAAAAAGGAAAAAGAACAGCAAGAAAGACGCAAACAUUUACUCUUUUGUUUUAACUCUAACAAUUAGGAGUUAGGUAGUUAUCCUUAUUUUUAUCCUUAUUUUACAGAAGGAGCAAAUGUGGCACAGAAAAAAUAGUGGCAGAGGUGGUUUCACCCCUGAAACUCUAUGGUUUCAAAACACUGCUUGCCGAUCCCCCCAACUCCUCGUAUUGCCUCUGAAGACAUUUUGCUGUGCUCUGGAGAAUGAAAAUCAAAGGUGGUCUCUGAUUCAGAGAAACCUUUACUCAUUCAACUUGAGAGAAAAGAUGCAGACAUGGAAAAUGAGCACACAGGCAUCAUUGUCACAACAGGAGGCAUUCCACAAAGAGUUGCUUGGUUUACCCUGUAAAGAGAGGAGGAGUGGAAAGUGGGAGAAAGAAGAAACGUUAUGAUAUCCAUGCUUAGACUUUGCUUUGUAAUCAAUAUAUUCUGCAUAUAUUAUACCACAUCCUCCUUUCCUCCCCAAACACACGUACCAUGCUCAUUUCCUUCUGUAAAACUUAAUUAAUAUAUUAUCAAUACAUUUUUAUAGCUUUCCACCUCUUCUCUCUGUCUGGACAUUCUUUUUCAGUUGUUGAAGAUGCAGGGACAGUCAUUGCUCAUGUCUACCUACCUACUCUCAUUUCUAUUAGGUGACUGCUCUUCCCCAUCUCAUGGAUUACGAGAGGACUGUCACUCAUAUUACCUCGCCACUCCCAGCCUCAGGGGUGGGCAUUUGAUACUUGUGGCACCUCUGUCCAUGGUACUCUGCCUACAAGGUGAGCUCCCAGCCAUGCGGAGCCAAUAGGUGUCCUACCGAGAUUCCAUUAGACAGACAGAAACCAGAGAGGAAAAAUGCUUUGCUGCUGGGAUACCAAACAGUGAGGACUGAUAGAAACCAGAAGCUGGAAGUGGCCCUCUUUCUUCCGUGAAAAGAGUUGCCUGAGAAAGAAAACAAACUCCUAGGAAAGGAGUGCUGAGACCAGGCAGGAGACAGUGUGACAAAAAAUGAGAAAAACAUUAUUUGAGCACUUGGACUGAG
RNAcentral lists this long non-coding RNA (1462 nucleotides) under Macaca mulatta (Rhesus monkey). RNAcentral's name for it is "lncRNA (ENSMMUG00000061095.1)". Lineage: Eukaryota; Metazoa; Chordata; Mammalia; Primates; Cercopithecidae. The record is from RNAcentral.